UGUAGGGUGGUGAAAUAGUAUCACACCGGGCUCAUUCCCCAGAAUUCUUGGUGCAAAUCCAGGCCCUGCUA
Molecule: transfer RNA, 71 nt
Filed under: Paracercomonas marina
Lineage: Eukaryota; Cercozoa; Cercomonadida; Cercomonadidae
Description: tRNA-Met
Rfam family: tRNA
About the family: Transfer RNA (tRNA) molecules are approximately 80 nucleotides in length. Their secondary structure includes four short double-helical elements and three loops (D, anti-codon, and T loops).
Source: RNAcentral